This 200-nucleotide ribosomal RNA is filed under the name uncultured bacterium. RNAcentral's name for it is "partial 16S ribosomal RNA". It matches the Rfam family "Bacterial small subunit ribosomal RNA", at positions 1294 to 1500 of the family's 1533-position model. The record is from RNAcentral.
CGGAUUGGAGUCUGNAACCCGACUCCAUGAAGCUGGAUUCGCUAGUAAUCGCGCAUCAGCCACGGCGCGGUGAAUACGUUCCCCGGGCCUUGUACACACCGCCCGUCAAGCCAUGGAAGCCGGGGGUGCCUGAAGUGCGUGACCGCAAGGAGCGCCCUAGGGUAAAACCGGUGACUGGGGCUAAGUCGUAACAAGGUAGC